ACGGUGUCAGUCAGAAAAAAGCAGACCGCGGAAGAGGUACUUUUUCGCCAAGAGGUUAGUGCGGAAAGUUUAAACGGCCGGAAGACAACCCGGAGCGGUUCGCUGUCGUGUCCAGUGAAGGGGACAAAUCAGGCCAACAACGAACGAUUGCGCGCGACUCGGUAAGCGUUGGCGAAAUACUGGUGACGGGCCAUCGAAGUCAGAAAGCCGCUCGGACAGUACGACAUUUCCACGUGGGGAAGUUAACCUCAAACGGUUCGCCGGCAACGCAACCGGUGGAGAUUGGCAAACAAGGACCAAUAAACCGAUAAGGACUGAGGAUUAGCGAUCAACUAUUUGCUCAAGCGGCAUAAAAAACGAUUCACACAGAUCGUCGGCAACAAGUGCAAAAGGUUGCGCGAAAGCACCGCGCGGAAAAGGCCUUCCAAAGGAAGGCCUUUAUUUUCAGGUCUGAAUCAGAGCGUACGGACAGCAAGCGGGUUCGGUCAGAAACUACGAGGAAAGACGGCAGUACAGAACGAAUCGAUCGGCUCUGAGUCUUCGACGACGACUAUACGUCACACCAGCACGGAGGAUAAGUUAUCCGCGGGAGCACGACGGCGCGGCCCAUUGGUAGGAAAGUCGAUUCGACCGCAUUCGUAAGCGCCGAUCGCGAGUGUGGGUGGCGGAAGUGCCUUAAUGAUGGGUGCGAACUGCAGUAUGCAUCUCCGGGAAAAAACGGCGUGGCGGACAUGGUAGGGGUGCACCCACAGCAAGGGUGAGUAAGAAGAAAAGAGAAUAGGUAGAAUAAGUAGAUAGAGGAGAAAAGAGAACAGAAGGAGUAAUGAGUAGAAUAAGACGCAGAUAAAGCAGGGCAAUGGAAGGAGAAUAAAGU
Molecule: long non-coding RNA, 874 nt
Organism: Topomyia yanbarensis
Lineage: Eukaryota; Metazoa; Arthropoda; Insecta; Diptera; Culicidae
Exons: 3
Source: RefSeq, a predicted model, not a curated record